GAAAAGGAAUCCACAGUUCUGAAGUGCAAGGUCAUGAGCAGGCUGGCACCUGGCAUGCUGUGUCACAACAUGGUAGAAGGCAGAUGGAUGAAAGGGAGCCAGGAUGAGCAAGUGGAUGACAGGGACACUACCCAAAUUUGGGCCCAUGGUCACUUGGAAUGAGGAUAGAGAGCUGCAGUUCUGUACUCAACUCACACCCCCUAUGAGAGACCCAUUUGUUAGGCAAGCGUGCCCCUCCUCUUCCUCUUGGUGUUGGUCCAAGGACAUCCUGGUGCAGUCACAGGAUUGUAAUGGAAAAAAAUAAAAAGGAAAAAGUUGCCACCCGAAAUUAAACAUUCUCUUCAUACGGAACAAUGCAGAGUGAGUCUGUGGGAGCAGCAGAGCUGGAGACAAACCUGGUUAAGUGAUGCAGCUGGCCAAGGAGCAGGCUAGCCUUCUGUCCAGUGGGUCUCAGUGUCCUUACCUGCACAAUGGGACAAUGACAGCAUCUGUCCCACAGGUUACUACAUCUUGCUCAUCUGUGUGAGCAACAUGCCUUGAACAAAGUAUUAUCCAGUGAAUCCAUGCAGAAUGAACCAAUGAAUGACUUAAAAAUGAGAUAACCCAGAUGACGCAUACCACAUGGUAAACAUAGGUUUACCAUGGCAAUUCGACAGUGUACAUCACAAAGCUUGAUAAACAUGCAUGGCUUCUGACCCAGCAAUUCCAUUUCUGAAAUUGGAAACUUAAUCCUAGUAAUUUAAUAAUUGAGAAUAAAUUGGUAAUAUGAUAAUCUUAGUUACCCAGAUAACUAGUAAUUAAGGACACACCAACAAUUUCACUACAAGAAUGUUCUUGUAGCUAGGUGUGGUGGCUCAUGACUGUAAUCCCAGUACUGGGGAGGCUGAAGCAGGAGGAUCACUGUGAGUUCAAGGCAAGCCUGGACUAUACAUUGAGACACUGUCUCCAAAAAACUGACAAAAAAAAAUUGCUCUUGGGGAUAACAACUUAAAUACUCAUCUUUUGGAUGACGACUUUUCGUAGGUGACACGCAGAAUUUACAAGGCUGCAUGCUAAGGUGGUGGUCAUCAGAGCACUGCUCACACACCAGAAACAUCAGUGCCACCUGAGAAGAAGUUAAACAUGUAAAUUCCAGGCAGAUGGAAGCAGUAGGCACAUCUGUAAUCCUAGCUACUUGGGUUGUGGAGGCAGUAUCAUAAGUUUGAGCCCUGCCUGGGCAGCUGAGACUUUGUCUCAAAAUAAAAAAUAAGAAAGGCUGGGGAUGCAGCUCAGUGUGAAAGCCCUGGGAUCAAGCCUCAGUACCACAAAAAGAAAAAAAAAGGUUAAAAAAAAAAAGGUAAAGAUUUUUUUUUUUUUUUGGAGUCAGGGUUUUGCUAUGCAAUUCAGCCUGGCCUUAAACUCACUGUGUAGCCCAGGCUGGCCUCAAACUUGUAGCACUCCUCCUGCCUCAGCCUCCUGAGUGCUGGGAAAGUAAAGACUUUGCACAAGGUCAUUCAGAUCCCUGUCCAAGAUCCAAGAGCACUGUCCUAAGGUAUUGCUACAGUAUCCAUGUAAGUGGAGAUAUGAAUAUUGUAAUAUUCCUAUAUUUUCUGACUUUCCUGGAGUCACUGGCAAAUGAUAUAAAAAGUCCAAUACAUGUGUAUAUCACACUGCAUCCCAGAAAUCUGUACAAUUAGCAUUUUUAAAGUUUAAAAAUACUCAAUAAAAACAAAUUUUGAGGAGUUGGGGUGGUAGCACAUGGCUGCAAUCCCUGCACCUGGGAGACUGAAGCAGAAGGAUCACGGUGAGUUUGAGGCCACCCUGAACUACACAGUAGGCUCUGUCUCAAAAAAAACCAAAAAACAACAUAGGAGAGUAAAUAUGCCCUCCCUGUUAUUUUAUUUUCUUUGAUUAUUCAAGAGAGUUAAGGCUUCAGCCUUUUGAAAUGUCAGCUCUCUAAAGUUUGCUUUUCCAUGAUUUGGGAACCCUGGAAUUCUGGUUUACCUGCUCAGUUCCUCCAUCUGUAUAUUGGUCAGUUUUCUGUCACCUUAACAAAAGGCCUCAGAGACUCAGCUUUGGAGGAGUUAGGUACCUUGGCUGCUGGUCUGAGCCUCCGGCCAGGCUCAGCACAUUGUCCCCUGCCCAGGUAAGGGAGCCAGGGAAGGAAGCGGCUAGCCUCAUGGAUACAAGAAAGGGGAGGGGACCGGAAGGGGUGGUUCCACUAUACAAGGAACCACCCCAUGACAUCACUUCCUCCCAUGAGGCCCACCUUCUAAAUGUUCUACCACCUCUCAAUACUACUUGCAGUGGAGACCAAGCUUUCAACACAGAAGACCUUGGGAGAUAUUCAAAAUCCAAAGUUAAAUGAAAAAGAACAAAGGACAAAGCUGGACAGAGACUGACAGUCUCAAGGCUGACAGGUCUUAGGGCUUGCCCUUCUUGCUAAACUCAUGAAGGUCACUGUGCCUGAAAGAUGAACUGCUGAAACAACACCUGCUUGUACCUCCCUAUCUCUCUAUGUUUCAAAGAUAAACUGUAAAAAAAAGGGGUUUUUUUGGUACGGGGGAUUGAACUUAGGUCCUUGUGCUUGUGAAGCAGGCAGUGGAACCACUGAGCUAAAUCCCCGGCCCUAAAAAAAGUUUUAAAAAGCAACAUUAGGGCCAGAGAUUUAGCUUAGUGGUUCUGCUGCCUGCCCUGCAAGUGCAAGGACCGGAGUUCGAUCCCCGGUACCCCCCCCCAAAAAAAACAAAACAACAUUACCUCCCUACCCUUUGCUGAGUUCUGCUUCUGUAAAAUGCUGCUUGCUCCCCUGCCCUGGCUAAAGAACAGAUAAAUAUGAGAACAAACUUAGAAAUGGGGCUCAGACUCUGGAAGGUGACUUCUGCUGGACCUGCUAAUAAUAAACCUGCCCAUCCCUUCAAUCCCCCCCCCCAGUGCCAGGGAUUGAACUCAGGACCUUGCACUUGCCAGGCAGGCAUGGUGGCGUUGAACUAAAUCCCUGGCCCUUCCCUUUAAUUCUCUGAGUGCUGCUCUCUUCCUUGGCCUGCCCGCCCUCCGAGUGCCAUUUCAAAACUAUAAUUACAGGUGCAUACCUGUAAUCCCAGCACUCUAGGAGACUGAGGAAGGAGGAUCACAAGUUCAAGCCUAGCCUUGGCAACUUAGUCACUAUCUCAAAAAAUAAAAAGGACUGGGGAUGCAGCUCAGUGUAGGGACCCUGGGUCCAAUCCCCAGUACCCGACACACACACACACACACACACACACACACACACACACACACACACACACAGAAAGAGAGAAAAAGAAAAACUUUGGCAAUACACAAAAUGCUAUAACACCAGAAUGAAUGUGUGAAUGAGAAAUCAAGUGGUACACACCAUGGAAGAACUCACUUUCACACUGUCCACACGUGUGUGUGGAGGGGCUGAGUGCUGGAGGUGGAAGCCCUUGAGUUGCACCCCAGGCCCUAACACUGUACUCUUUGUAUAUUCAUUACUAUUCCCCCACUGGAACUCGAGUUUACCUAAUUCCUAUUUAGUAUAAAAUCUUCUGUGUUGUUGGCAAUCCUGAAAAUUUCCACUGCACUCUGAAUCUUGAAUUAGAGAUUUUUUUUUGAGACAGGGUUUUGCUAUUCCAAGCUGGCCUUGAAUUCACUAUGUAGCCCAGACUGGUCUUGAAAUACACAGACCCUCCUGCCUCAACCUCCUGAGUGCUGGGAUGACAAGUGUGUGCCACCAAACCUGGCUCCUGAAUCUUGAAAGCCUUCUUUCUGUAACCUGAAUCUCAAAGUGCUGGAGGCACAGUCCUCCACGCCACCCUCCACACCCUCAUUUCUAAGGCACCACCAUCCUGGGUCUGAAGGCCUCCUUUAGGGCCUGAAGGUGUCCCUGUCCGACUUGAAGAGGGAGGACAACUCCAGAUGGGAGGAGAGCUCCAUGUCCUCACAGAAGGCCCAAGAUGCACAGGUGCCAGGAGCCAGCUGGCCUCCGGCCAGGGCCAGGACCCAUCAGUGAGGGCUCUGCCAGUGUCCUCAGUGUUUUCUCUGUUGCUAGGAAACCUUAUUUCACUGCAGCUCAUUGAUUAGCACCCCCUCUCGUGUCCAUGCCCAGUAAUAGC
Long non-coding RNA from Heterocephalus glaber (naked mole-rat), 4094 nucleotides. The record is from Ensembl. Lineage: Eukaryota; Metazoa; Chordata; Mammalia; Rodentia; Bathyergidae.